Molecule: transfer RNA, 86 nt
Filed under: Acidobacteriota bacterium
Lineage: Bacteria; Pseudomonadati; Acidobacteriota
Also listed under: 2 other names
Description: Acidobacteria bacterium tRNA-Leu
Rfam family: tRNA
About the family: Transfer RNA (tRNA) molecules are approximately 80 nucleotides in length. Their secondary structure includes four short double-helical elements and three loops (D, anti-codon, and T loops).
Source: RNAcentral
GCCGGAGUGGCGGAAUGGCAGACGCGGCGGACUCAAAAUCCGUUGCCCGCAAGGGCGUGUGGGUUCGACUCCCUCCUCCGGCACCA